Caenorhabditis elegans is the source of this 136-nucleotide non-coding RNA. NCBI's taxonomy places the organism in Eukaryota, Metazoa, Nematoda, Chromadorea, Rhabditida, Rhabditidae. The record is from Ensembl.
UCUCAAGGGUUUCCACUUUUUUUACAAAAUAAGUUGUAUAUUUUGCUGAUGGAUAUUAUUUUUUGAUAUUUCCAAAACAUGUUUAAAAAUAAACUAACUAGUUCCAUAAGUCGGGUCAAUUGGUGGAAGUGGUGAA